AGAGGAGAAAGAGGAGGGGGUUCCUGGCUCAGAGAGGAACUGCAGCGCGCAUGGAGAGCAUCCAAGUAAUAAAUGAAUAAAUACGGCACAUGAAAAGUCCAGUGUCCAGCCAGCAAUCCUGUAAAUUUGGGAGAUGCAGUGGUUCCAUUGGUGACCAGAUCCAGUAGCAGAGUCCACUAGAACCAGCAGCAAUAGUCACAGGCGUUGGAAGAUAAUUGAAUAACUCUGAGAGGGAUAUGUCUAGGAAGUAUACUUAUGAGCACAAGGAAGUUGGAAGAGGUUGUAAAUUAGAAGCUCAGCUAUCUGGCUCAUCAGCAGAUAGAUUUAUCUAAGAAAUGUCUCACCUUGUGAGUAAUCAGCUCAGCAGAGAGAUAUCCAUCCAUCCAUCCAUUUACCUAUCUAUCUAUUUAUCUAUCAUCUAUGUAUCUAACUACCUAUCUAUCUAUGUACCCCACUCACAAUGAACUUCAUGAGAACAGGAAAAAAAAAAAA
Molecule: long non-coding RNA, 492 nt
Organism: Sarcophilus harrisii (Tasmanian devil)
Lineage: Eukaryota; Metazoa; Chordata; Mammalia; Dasyuromorphia; Dasyuridae
Exons: 2
Source: RefSeq, a predicted model, not a curated record